GUCCAGCUGAUGGGUCCGAAAUAGGACGAAACGAACGUCCCGGAU
This 45-nucleotide non-coding RNA is filed under the name Schistosoma margrebowiei. The record is from RNAcentral. Lineage: Eukaryota; Metazoa; Platyhelminthes; Trematoda; Strigeidida; Schistosomatidae.